RNAcentral lists this ribosomal RNA (498 nucleotides) under uncultured bacterium. RNAcentral's name for it is "partial 16S ribosomal RNA". It matches the Rfam family "Bacterial small subunit ribosomal RNA", at positions 30 to 523 of the family's 1533-position model. The record is from RNAcentral.
AUUGAACGCUGGCGGCAUGCCUUACACAUGCAAGUCGAACGGUAACAGGUCUUCGGAUGCUGACGAGUGGCGAACGGGUGAGUAAUACAUCGGAACGUGCCUAGUAGUGGGGGAUAACUACUCGAAAGAGUGGCUAAUACCGCAUGAGAUCCACGGAUGAAAGCAGGGGAUCGCAAGACCUUGUGCUACUAGAGCGGCCGAUGGCAGAUUAGGUAGUUGGUGGGAUAAAAGCUUACCAAGCCGACGAUCUGUAGCUGGUCUGAGAGGACGAUCAGCCACAAUGGGACUGAGACACGGCCAAGACUCCUACGGGAGGCAGCAGUGGGGAAUUUUGGACAAUGGGCGAAAGCCUGAUCCAGCAAUGCCGCGUGCAGGAUGAAGGCCUUCGGGUUGUAAACUGCUUUUGUACGGAACGAAAAGCCCUGGGUUAAUACCCUGGGGUCAUGACGGUACCGUAAGAAUAAGCACCGGCUAACUACGUGCCAGCAGCCGCAGUAA